GAUCCAUGGCUCAGGAUGAACGCUAGCUACAGGCUUAACACAUGCAAGUCGAGGGGAAACGACAUCGAAAGCUUGCUUCCGAUGGGCGUCGACCGGCGCACGGGUGAGUAACGCGUAUCCAACCUGCCCACCACUUGGGGAUAACCUUGCGAAAGUAAGACUAAUACCCAAUGAUAUCUCUAGAAGACACCUGAAAGAGAUUAAAGAUUUAUCGGUGAUGGAUGGGGAUGCGU
Molecule: ribosomal RNA, 233 nt
Filed under: uncultured bacterium
Lineage: Bacteria
Description: partial 16S ribosomal RNA
Rfam family: Bacterial small subunit ribosomal RNA
Source: RNAcentral